Molecule: ribosomal RNA, 410 nt
Filed under: Alcaligenes aquatilis
Lineage: Bacteria; Pseudomonadati; Pseudomonadota; Betaproteobacteria; Burkholderiales; Alcaligenaceae
Description: bacterial SSU rRNA
Rfam family: Bacterial small subunit ribosomal RNA
Source: RNAcentral
CAGGUGGCUGCAUUGCUGUUCUUCAGCUCGUGUCGUGAGAUGUUGGGUUAAGUCCCCGCCACGAGCGCCACCCUUUUCAUUAGUUGCUACGCAAGAGCACUCUAAUGAGACUGCCGGUGACAAACCGGAGGAAGGUGGGGAUGACGUCAAGUCCUCAUGGCCCUUAUGGGUAGGGCUUCACACGUCAUACAAUGGUCGGGACAGAGGGUCGCCAACCCGCGAGGGGGAGCCAAUCUCAGAAACCCGAUCGUAGUCCGGAUCGCAGUCUGCAACUCGACUGCGUGAAGUCGGAAUCGCUAGUAAUCGCGGAUCAGAAUGUCGCGGUGAAUACGUUCCCGGGUCUUGUACACACCGCCCGUCACACCAUGGGAGUGGGUUUCACCAGAAGUAGGUAGCCUAACCGCAAGGAG